Molecule: ribosomal RNA, 520 nt
Filed under: uncultured Glomus
Lineage: Eukaryota; Fungi; Glomeromycota; Glomeromycetes; Glomerales; Glomeraceae
Description: SSU rRNA
Rfam family: Eukaryotic small subunit ribosomal RNA
Source: RNAcentral
AGCAGCCGCGGUAAUUCCAGCUCCAAUAGCGUAUAUUAAAGUUGUUGCAGUUAAAAAGCUCGUAGUUGAAUUUCGAGACCGGUCUACUGGUCGUGCUUUUGUACGUACUGGUAUAAUCGGUUUCUCUCUUCUGACGAACUAUAAUGCCAUUAAUUUGGUGUUUUAGGGAAUCAGGACUGUUACUUUGAAAAAAUUAGAGUAGUUUAAAGCAGGCUCACGCUUGAAUACAUUAGCAUGGAAUAACGAAAUAGGACGUUUGAUUUUAUUUUGUUGGUUUCUAGGAUCGACGUAAUGAUUAAUAGGGAUAGUUGGGGGCAUUAGUAUUCAAUUGUCAGAGGUGAAAUUCUUGGAUUUAUUGAAGACUAACUACUGCGAAAGCAUUUGCCAAGGAUGUUUUCAUUAAUCAAGAACGAAAGUUAGGGGAUCGAAGACGAUCAGAUACCGUCGUAGUCUUAACCAUAAACUAUGCCGACUAGGGAUCGGGUGAUGUUAAAUUAAUGACUCAUUCGGCACCUUACGG